Molecule: ribosomal RNA, 469 nt
Filed under: uncultured bacterium
Lineage: Bacteria
Description: bacterial SSU rRNA
Rfam family: Bacterial small subunit ribosomal RNA
Source: RNAcentral
AUUGAACGCUGGCGGCAUGCUUUACACAUGCAAGUCGAACGGCAGCACAGGGAGCUUGCUCCCGGGUGGCGAGUGGCGCACGGGUGAGUAAUACAUCGGAACGUGUCCUGUUGUGGGGGAUAACUGCUCGAAAGGGUGGCUAAUACCGCAUGAGACCUGAGGGUGAAAGCGGGGGAUCGCAAGACCUCGCGCAAUUGGAGCGGCCGAUGCCCGAUUAGCUAGUUGGUGGGGUAAAGGCUCACCAAGGCGACGAUCGGUAGCUGGUCUGAGAGGACGACCAGCCACACUGGGACUGAGACACGGCCCAGACUCCUACGGGAGGCAGCAGUGGGGAAUUUUGGACAAUGGGGGCAACCCUGAUCCAGCCAUGCCGCGUGCAGGAUGAAGGCCUUCGGGUUGUAACUGCUUUGUCAGGGACGAAAAGGACCGUGUUAAUACCAUGGUCUGCUGACGGUACCUGAAGAAUAAG